This 440-nucleotide ribosomal RNA is filed under the name uncultured bacterium. RNAcentral's name for it is "partial 16S ribosomal RNA". It matches the Rfam family "Bacterial small subunit ribosomal RNA", at positions 339 to 795 of the family's 1533-position model. The record is from RNAcentral.
CUACGGGCCGCACCAGUAGGGAAUAUUGCACAAUGGGCGAAAGCCUGAUGCAGCAACGCCGCGUGCGCGAUGAAGGCCUUCGGGUUGUAAAGCGCUUUUCUGAGGGAAGAGGAAGGACUGUACCUCAGGAAUAAGUCUCGGCUAACUACGUGCCAGCAGCCGCGGUAACACGUAGGAGGCAAGCGUUAUCCGGAUUUACUGGGCGUAAAGCGCGUGUAGGCGGUUUGGCAAGUCGGAUGUGAAAGCUCCUGGCUCAACUGGGAGAGGUCGUUCGAAACUGCCAGACUAGAGGACGGUAGAGGAAGAUGGAAUUCCCGGUGUAGUAGUGAAAUGCGUAGAUAUCGGGAGGAACACCAGUGGCGAAGGCGGUCUUCUGGGCCGUUCCUGACGCUGAGACGCGAAAGCAUGGGUAGCGAACGGGAUUAGAUACCCCGGUAGUC